Molecule: ribosomal RNA, 544 nt
Filed under: uncultured bacterium
Lineage: Bacteria
Description: bacterial SSU rRNA
Rfam family: Bacterial small subunit ribosomal RNA
Source: RNAcentral
AAUAGAUACCCCGGUAGUCCACGCCGUAAACGAUGGUCACUAGCUGUUAGGGGAUCGACCCCUUUAGUAGCGAAGCUAACGCGUUAAGUGACCCGCCUGGGGAGUACGGUCGCAAGGCUAAAACUCAAAGGAAUUGACGGGGACCCGCACAAGCGGUGGAACGUGGGGUUUAAUUCGUCUCUAAGCGAAAAACCUUACCGAGGCUUGACAUCUCUAGAAGAUCCUAGAAAUAGGAUUGUGCCGAAAGGAACUAGAUGACAGGUGCUGCAUGGCUGUCGUCAGCUCGUGUCGUGAGAUGUUGGGUUAAGUCCCGCAACGAGCGCAACCCUCGCCCUUAGUUGCCAUCAUUUAGUUGGGCACUCUAAGGGGACUGCCGGUGAUAAGCCGCGAGGAAGGUGGGGAUGACGUCAAGUCCUCAUGGCCCUUACGGGGCUGGGCUACACACGUGCUACAAUGGCGGUGACAAUGGGAUGCGAAGGGGUGACCCCUAGCAAAUCUCAAAAACCGUCUCAGUUCGGAUUGUGCUCUGCAACUCGAGCACAUG